UGGGGAAUAUUGCACAAUGGGGGAAACCCGUGAUGCAGCGACGCCGCGUGAGCGAAGAAGUAUUUCGGUAUGUAAAGCUCUAUCAGCAGGGAAGAAAAAAUGACGGUACCUGAGUAAGAAGCACCGGCUAAAUACGUGCC
Molecule: ribosomal RNA, 140 nt
Filed under: uncultured bacterium
Lineage: Bacteria
Description: partial 16S ribosomal RNA
Rfam family: Bacterial small subunit ribosomal RNA
Source: RNAcentral